This 225-nucleotide non-coding RNA is filed under the name Ixodes scapularis (black-legged tick). Its description in RNAcentral is "Eukaryotic small subunit ribosomal RNA". It matches the Rfam family "Eukaryotic small subunit ribosomal RNA", at positions 1229 to 1478 of the family's 1831-position model. The record is from Rfam by way of RNAcentral. Lineage: Eukaryota; Metazoa; Arthropoda; Arachnida; Ixodida; Ixodidae.
UUCUGGGACGAUUGACCGCUUGAGAUCUUUUUCUUGAUUCGGUGGAGAUGGUGCAUGUCCGUUCCUAGUUGGUGGAGUGAUUUCUCUGGUCAAUUCCGAUAACGAACGAGACUCUAGCCUAUGAAAUAGGCGCGUGGUUCUCUGCACCUUGCACCCUUCUUAGAGGGACAGGCGGUCCCUAGCCGCACGAAACAGAGCAAUAACAGGUCUGUGAUGCCCUUCGAU